GGAAUUGUUCACAAUGGGCGCAAGCCUGAUGACGCAACGCCGCGUGGAGGAUGAAGGUCUUCGGAUUGUAAACUCCUGUUGCCCGGGACGAAUGGCUUCAACCUAAUCCGUGGAAGUGUGACGGUACCGGGUGAGGAAGCCCCGGCUAACUCUGUGCCAGCAGCCGCGGUAAUACAGAGGGGGCAAGCGUUGUUCGGAAUGACUGGGCGUAAAGGGCGCGUAGGCGGCCCGCUAAGUCGUACGUGAAAUCCCCGAGCUCAACUCGGGAACUGCGUCCGAUACUGGUGGGCUUGAAUCCGGGAGAGGGAUGCGGAAUUCCAGGUGUAGCGGUGAAAUGCGUAGAUAUCUGGAGGAACACCGGUGGCGAAGGCGGCAUCCUGGACCGGCAUUGACGCUGAGGCGCGAAAGCUAGGGGAGCAAACG
RNAcentral lists this ribosomal RNA (423 nucleotides) under uncultured bacterium. RNAcentral's name for it is "bacterial SSU rRNA". It matches the Rfam family "Bacterial small subunit ribosomal RNA", at positions 358 to 774 of the family's 1533-position model. The record is from RNAcentral.